This 125-nucleotide small RNA is filed under the name Thiotrichales bacterium. RNAcentral's name for it is "6S RNA". It matches the Rfam family "6S / SsrS RNA", at positions 32 to 155 of the family's 187-position model. Rfam says of the family: E. coli 6S RNA was the first non coding RNA to be sequenced, but its function was unknown until recently. It consists of 184 nucleotides that fold into an extended hairpin structure with a large single-stranded internal bulge. The 6S RNA specifically associates with RNA polymerase holoenzyme containing the sigma70 specificity factor. Lineage: Bacteria; Pseudomonadati; Pseudomonadota; Gammaproteobacteria; Thiotrichales. The record is from RNAcentral.
UUUUUUGAGCCGAUAAGCUAAAGCCAGGGAACCUUAAUCAUUGGUCAGUGUGCACGCCACAUUACGUGUGGAAGCCUAAUGGCCAGAUCUGGUGCCCACCUCGAACCACAAGGGUUCAAACAAAC